This 467-nucleotide ribosomal RNA is filed under the name uncultured bacterium. Its description in RNAcentral is "bacterial SSU rRNA". It matches the Rfam family "Bacterial small subunit ribosomal RNA", at positions 28 to 507 of the family's 1533-position model. The record is from RNAcentral.
GACGAACGCUGGCGGCGUGCCUAACACAUGCAAGUCGAACGGGGUUAAUUCCUUCGGGGAUUAACUUAGUGGCGAACGGGUGAGUAACGCGUGAGAAACCUGCCUUUCAGUGGGGGACAACAGUUGGAAACGACUGCAAAUACCGCAUAAUGUGCUUAGGGGGCAUCCCCUGAGUACCAAAGCUUUAUGUGCUGAAAGAUGGCCUCGCGUCUGAUUAGAUAGUUGGUGGGGUAACGGCCUACCAAGUCGACGAUCAGUAGCCGGUCUGAGAGGAUGAACGGCCACAUUGGGACUGAGAUACGGCCCAGACUCCUACGGGAGGCAGCAGUGGGGAAUAUUGGGCAAUGGGGGGAACCCUGACCCAGCAACGCCGCGUGAAGGAAGAAGGCCCUUCGGGUUGUAAACUUCUUUUAGCAGGGACGAAGAACGUGACGGUACCUGCAGAAAAAGCAACGGCUAACUACGUG